GAAAUGCGAUAACUAGUGUGAAUUGCAGAAUUCCGUGAAUCAUCGAGUCUUUGAACGCACAUUGCGCCCCCUGGUAUUCCCGGGGGCAUGCCUGUCCGAGCGUCAUUGCUGCCCAUCAAGCACGGCUUGUGUGUUGGGUCGUCGUCCCCUCUCCGGGGGGGACGGGCCCCAAAGGCAGCGGCGGCACCGCGUCCGAUCCUCGAGCGUAUGGGGCUUUGUCACCCGCUCUGUAGGCCCGGCCGGCGCUUGCCGAACGCAAAUCAAUCUUUUUCCAGGUUGACCUCGGAUCAGGUAGGGAUACCCGCUGAACUUAAGC
Molecule: unclassified non-coding RNA, 316 nt
Filed under: plant metagenome
Description: partial contains 5.8S ribosomal RNA, internal transcribed spacer 2, and large subunit ribosomal RNA
Rfam family: 5.8S ribosomal RNA (bases 1-105)
Source: RNAcentral